AUUACCUACGGGGCGCAGCAGUGGGGAAUAUUGCACAAUGGGGGAAACCCUGAUGCAGCGACGCCGCGUGAAGGGAGAAGUAUUUCGGUAUGUAAACUUCUAUCAGCAGGGAAGAAAAUGACGGUACCUGACUAAGAAGCCCCGGCUAACUACGUGCCAGCAGCCGCGGUAAUACGUAGGGGGCAAGCGUUAUCCGGAUUUACCGGGUGUAAAGGGAGCGUAGGCGGCAGGGCAAGCCUGAUGUGAAAGCCCGGGGCUCAACCCCGGGACUGCAUUGGGGACGGCCCCGCUCGCGUGCCGGAGGG
This 305-nucleotide ribosomal RNA is filed under the name uncultured bacterium. RNAcentral's name for it is "bacterial SSU rRNA". It matches the Rfam family "Bacterial small subunit ribosomal RNA", at positions 334 to 656 of the family's 1533-position model. The record is from RNAcentral.